UACAGAGGGUGCGAGCGUUGUCCGGAAUCACUGGGCGUAAAGGGCGCGUAGGCGGCCUGAUAAGUAGGGGGUGAAAUCCUGUGGCUUAACUGCAGGGCUGCCUCCUAGACUGUUAGGCUCGAGCACGGUAGAGGCAGAUGGAAUUCCCGGUGUAGCGGUGGAAUGCGUAGAGGUCGGGAAGAACAUCGGUGGCGAAGGCGGUCUGCUGGGCCGUUGCUGACGCUGAGGCGCGACAGCGUGGGGAGCAAACGGG
RNAcentral lists this ribosomal RNA (253 nucleotides) under uncultured bacterium. RNAcentral describes it as "partial 16S ribosomal RNA". It matches the Rfam family "Bacterial small subunit ribosomal RNA", at positions 524 to 776 of the family's 1533-position model. The record is from RNAcentral.